GACGAACGCUGGCGGCGUGCUUAACACAUGCAAGUCGAACGGAAAGGCCCUGCUUUUGUGGGGUGCUCGAGUGGCGAACGGGUGCGUAACACGUGAGUAACCUGCCCUUGACUUUGGGAUAACUUCAGGAAACUGGGGCUAAUACCGGAUAGGAUCUCCUGCUGCAUGGUGGGGGUUGGAACGUUUCGGCGGUUGGGGAUGGACUCGCGGCUUAUCAGCUUGUUGGUUGGGUAGUGGCUUACCAAGGCUUUGAAGGGUAGCCGGCCUGAGAGGGUGAACGGCCACAAUGGGACUGAGAGACGGCCCAGACUCCUACGGGAGGCAGCAGUGGGGAAUAUUGCACAAUGGGAGGAAGCCGGAUGCAGAAACGUCGCGUGCGGGAUGACGGCCUGCGGGUUGUAAACCGCUUUCGCCUGUGACGAAGCGUGAGUGACGGUAAUGGGUAAAGAAGCACCGGCUAACUACGUG
This 468-nucleotide ribosomal RNA is filed under the name uncultured bacterium. Its description in RNAcentral is "partial 16S ribosomal RNA". It matches the Rfam family "Bacterial small subunit ribosomal RNA", at positions 28 to 507 of the family's 1533-position model. The record is from RNAcentral.